AAUGCUAGGAUGCGAUGGGGAAGCCCUUCGGGGCGAAGUAGCUGAUUUCACACUGUCAAGAAAAGCUUCUAUCGAGUUUAAAGGCGCCCGUACCGUAAACCGACACAGGUGGGUGAGGAGAGUAUCCUAAGGCCAGCGAGAGAACUAUUGUUAAGGAACUCGGCAAAAUGACCCCGUAACUUAGGGAGAAGGGGUGCCUGUCUAUGACAGGCCGCAGAGAAUAGGCCCAAGCGACUGUUUACCAAAAACACAGGUUUCUGCUAAGUCGCAAGACGAUGUAUAGGAGCUGACGCCUGCCCGGUGCUGGAAGGUUAAGGGGAUCUGUUAGAGCAAUCGAAGCAGUGAACUUAAGCCCCAGUAAACGGCGGCCGUAACAAUAACGGUCCUAAGGUAGCGAAAUUCCUUGUCGGGUAAGUUCCGACCCGCACGAAAGGCGUAACGAUUUGGGCACUGUCUCAACAAUAGACUCGGUGAAAUUGUAAUCCCGGUGAAGAUGCCGGGUACCUGCGACAGGACGGAAAGACCCCAUGGAGCUUUACUGUAGCUUGACGUUGGGUCUUGGUACUACAUGUACAGGAUAGGUGGGAGACUAUGAAGCAUGGACGCCAGUCUGUGUGGAGUCAUCCUUGGGAUACCACCCUUGUAGUACUGGGAUCCUAACCAUAGGCCUUGAAUCAGGUCUUGGAACACCGUCAGGUGGGCAGUUUGACUGGGGCGGUCGCCUCCUAAAAAGUAACGGAGGCGCUCAAAGGUUUCCUCAGCACGGUCGGAAAUCGUGCGAAGAGUGUAAAGGCAAAAGGAAGCUUGAUUGCAAGACAUACAGGUCGAGCAAGGACGAAAGUCGGACUUAGUGAUCCGGUGGUACCGCAUGGAAGGGCCAUCGCUCAACGGAUAAAAGCUACCCUGGGGAUAACAGGCUUAUCUCCCCCAAGAGUCCACAUCGACGGGGAGGUUUGGCACCUCGAUGUCGGCUCAUCACAUCCUGGGGCUGUAGUAGGUCCCAAGGGUUGGGCUGUUCGCCCAUUAAAGUGGUACGCGAGCUGGGUUCAGAACGUCGUGAGACAGUUCGGUCCCUAUCCGUCGCAGGCGUAGGAAAUUUGAGAAGACCUGUCCUUAGUACGAGAGGACCGGGAUGGACGUACCUCUGGUGUACCAGUUGUUCUGCCAAGGGCAUGGCUGGGUAGCUAUGUACGGAAUGGAUAAGCGCUGAAAGCAUCUAAGCGCGAAGCCAACUUCAAGAUAAGAUUUCCCACCGUAAGGGUAAGACCCCAGGAAGACUACCUGGUUGAUAGGUCGAAGGUGUAAGUGCAGUAAUGUAUUUAGCUUAUUGAUACUAAUAGGUCGAGGACUUGACCU
RNAcentral lists this ribosomal RNA (1356 nucleotides) under metagenome. Its description in RNAcentral is "bacterial LSU rRNA". It matches the Rfam family "Bacterial large subunit ribosomal RNA", at positions 1552 to 2925 of the family's 2925-position model. The record is from RNAcentral.